UUUGACUUGGCAGAAUUAUAUGUGCUUGAUUUAGGAUCAAACGAUAACACUUGGUGUUAGUCGGAG
This 66-nucleotide transfer RNA is filed under the name Salinator rhamphidia. Its description in RNAcentral is "tRNA-Leu". The record is from RNAcentral. Lineage: Eukaryota; Metazoa; Mollusca; Gastropoda; Amphibolidae.